AACGAACGCUGGCGGCGUGGAUAAGACAUGCAAGUCGAACGGGAACUUCAGCUGUAGCAAUACAGUUGAAGUUUUAGUGGCGAACGGGUGCGUAACACGUGGGCAAUCUGCCGAAAAGUGGGGGAUAGCUCGCCGAAAGGCGAAUUAAUACCGCAUAUGAUCAGCUAAGACAUCUUAGCGACAUCAAAGCCGGGGCAACCUGGCGCUUUUUGAGGAGCCCGCGGCCAUCAGCUAGUUGGUGAGGUAACGGCUCACCAAGGCUAUGACGGGGUAGCUGGUCUGAGAGGACGACCAGUCACACUGGAACUGAGACACGGUCCAGACACCUACGGGUGCAGCAGUCGAGAAUUUUUCNCAAUGGGGAAACCCUGAAGGAGCGACGCCGCGUGGAGG
RNAcentral lists this ribosomal RNA (393 nucleotides) under uncultured bacterium. RNAcentral describes it as "bacterial SSU rRNA". It matches the Rfam family "Bacterial small subunit ribosomal RNA", at positions 29 to 407 of the family's 1533-position model. The record is from RNAcentral.